GACAGAGGGUGCAAACGUUGCUCGGAAUUACUGGGCGUGAAGCGCGUGUAGGCGGAUCGGCAAGUCGGACGUGAAAUCCCCGGGCUCAACCCAGGAACUGCGCUCGAAACUGCCGACCUUGAGUGAUGGAGAGGAUAGUGGAAUUCUCGGUGUAGAGGUGAAAUUCGUAGAUAUCGAGAGGAACACCAGUGGCGAAGGCGGCUAUCUGGACAUCAAUUGACGCUGAGACGCGAAAGCGUGGGGAGCAAACAGG
This 253-nucleotide ribosomal RNA is filed under the name uncultured bacterium. Its description in RNAcentral is "partial 16S ribosomal RNA". It matches the Rfam family "Bacterial small subunit ribosomal RNA", at positions 524 to 776 of the family's 1533-position model. The record is from RNAcentral.